This 735-nucleotide ribosomal RNA is filed under the name uncultured bacterium. RNAcentral describes it as "bacterial SSU rRNA". It matches the Rfam family "Bacterial small subunit ribosomal RNA", at positions 57 to 816 of the family's 1533-position model. The record is from RNAcentral.
GCAAGUCGAACGGUUCCGAUUUAUCGGGAUAGUGGCGGAUGGGUGAGUAACGCGUAAGUAACCUGCCCUUAAGUAGGGGAUAACUCUGAGAAAUUGGAGCUAAUACCUUAUGUGGUGAUGGAGUUAAGGCUUCAUCAUUAAAGCUUUAGGGUGCUUGAGGAUGGGCUUGCGUCCGAUUAGCUAGUUGGUAGGGUAAGGGCUUACCAAGGCGAUGAUCGGUAGCUGGUUUGAGAGGACGGUCAGCCACACUGGGAUUGAGAUACGGCCCAGACUCCUACGGGAGGCAGCAGCAAGGAAUAUUGUGCAAUGGGCGAAAGCCUGACACAGCGACGCCGCGUGAGGGAAGAAGGCCUUCGGGUUGUAAACCUCUUUUCUCAGGGAAGAAUAAUGACGGUACCUGGGGAAUAAGUCACGGCUAACUACGUGCCAGCAGCCGCGGUAAUACGUAGGUGGCAAGCGUUAUCCGGAUUUACUGGGUGUAAAGAGGGCGCGGGCGGCUUUUCAAGUCGAAUAUAAAAUCUCCCGGCUUAACUGGGAGGGAUUAUUCGAUACUGUUGGGCUAGAGAGCAGCAGAGGGAGGUGGAAUUCCCGGUGUAGUGGUGAAAUGCGUAGAUAUCGGGAGGAACACCAGUGGCGAAGGCGGCCUCCUGGGCUGUUACUGGCGCUGAGGCCCGAAAGCGUGGGGAGCAAACAGGAUUAGAUACCCUGGUAGUCCACGCCAUAAACUAUGGACAC